UCUGGUGAUGAUGGCGGAGGGGACCCACUCGUUCCCAUCCCGAACACGACCGUUAAGCCCUCCAGCGCCGAUGGUACUAUAGAUUAAUCUAUGGGAGAGUAGGACGUCGCCAGGC
RNAcentral lists this ribosomal RNA (115 nucleotides) under Polycladospora coralii. The record is from RNAcentral. Lineage: Bacteria; Bacillati; Bacillota; Bacilli; Caryophanales; Thermoactinomycetaceae.